GCACCCGCACAAGCGGUGGAGCAUGCUGUUUAAUUCGAAAAUACGCGAAGAACCUUACCUAGACUUGACAUCCCGAGCAAAGCUAUAGAAAUAUAGUGGAGGUUACCUCGGUGACAGGUGGUGCAUGGUUGUCGUCAGCUCGUGUCGUGAGAUGUUUGGUUAAGUCCAACAACGAGCGCAACCCUCGUCAUUAGUUGCUAACAUUAAGUUGAGCUCUCUAAUGAUACUGCCGGUGUAAGCCGGAGGAAGGUGGGGAUGAUGUCAAAUCAUCAUGCCCCUUAUGUCUAGGGCUACAGGCGUGCUACAAUGGCCGAUACAACGAGUCGCAACACAGCGAUGUGAAGCAAAUCUCUUAAAGUCGGUCCCAGUUCGGAUUGGAGUCUGCAACUCGACUCCAUGAAGUUGGAAUCGCUAGUAAUCCCGAAUCAGAAUGUCGGGGUGAAUACGUUCCCGGGUGUU
This 459-nucleotide ribosomal RNA is filed under the name uncultured bacterium. RNAcentral's name for it is "bacterial SSU rRNA". It matches the Rfam family "Bacterial small subunit ribosomal RNA", at positions 917 to 1382 of the family's 1533-position model. The record is from RNAcentral.